RNA transcript from Colius striatus (speckled mousebird), 973 nucleotides. It is a transcript of the gene named arp2/3 complex-activating protein rickA-like, with no coding region annotated. NCBI's taxonomy places the organism in Eukaryota, Metazoa, Chordata, Aves, Coliiformes, Coliidae. The record is from RefSeq and is a predicted model, not a curated record. The transcript has 2 exons.
AGCCGGGGCCGCCUCAGAACGCCCGCACUGCACGGGGAAGCAAGACCGACCACCAAGAGACUUAUCUGAGGGAAUGAGGCUGUACUAUCGCAUUCAGACCGCCUGUCGCCUUCAGGCGAGACAGCGCCCGAGCUGACCAGCUCUGAGCCCUUUCGUUGCUCUGUAAUGAAAUCCGAGCUUUCCACACACACAGGUGGUCAUUUCCAUCAGGAGUGUCCUUCCUGCCAAAGGCGAAGUGCUGCUUGUGCACCAGGGAGCCGGCGCUGGCAGCUCUUGCUGGUGUUAGGCCCAUAAGGUGGAAGAACGGCUGCUGGAGGUGGUGUGGUUUACGAUGAGAAGCACCCUUUGCCUUGCUUAAGGCAGAUUGGUGAUUAGCUGGACUGCUACUCUCACUCCAGUGUCUUGUCAACACUCCCUUGCUUGAGUGACAUUACUGGGUAGUACUAAAUGCUUUUUAAAGCGCCGUGAAAUUUCUUGGAUUAAACAGCUGAUGUGGAGUAACUCUUUUUCCACCAUCAAAACCCUUCAGCCAUGAUGAAGAACUGAAGGGAAAUCUGUGGUGCUGAAACACAAGAACACAAUUUCUCUUGUCUCAUAUGCUGCUGUUCUACAACUUUUAUUUUCAUUGCAAUUGAGAUCAAUGUCUGAAAGCUGUGUCCUUGGAAAGCUGGGGGGAAACGUAAGACGAGAAAGCUCUGAACAAAGUACCCACCUAAACUGGGCUAUUACAAGAGGACUGACAUACAAUGCCUGAUGUACUACGGAUGUUUGCUGACUUCAUUGUGGGAAUAAAGAACUGGUAACUGGCAAAAAAAUGUAAACUGACCUUCAGAUUAUGAGACUGACUGCUGACAAAUGAGGUAAUGUUACAGAAUGCCCUGUUGCCAGCAGGAGAGUGGAAAACACGCAAACUCUGAAGGUCAGCAGGAUGUAAAAACAAAAAACAGGUAUUAUGUAACUUCUUAAAAUAAAC